RNAcentral lists this ribosomal RNA (492 nucleotides) under uncultured bacterium. Its description in RNAcentral is "partial 16S ribosomal RNA". It matches the Rfam family "Bacterial small subunit ribosomal RNA", at positions 29 to 507 of the family's 1533-position model. The record is from RNAcentral.
AGUGAACGCUGGCGGUAGGCCUAACACAUGCAAGUCGAACGGCAGCACAGUAAGAGCUUGCUCUUACGGGUGGCGAGUGGCGGACGGGUGAGGAAUACAUCGGAAUCUACUUUUUCGUGGGGGAUAACGUAGGGAAACUUACGCUAAUACCGCAUACGACCUACGGGUGAAAGCAGGGGAUCUUCGGACCUUGCGCGAUUGAAUGACCCGAUGUCGGAUUAGCUAGUUGGCGGGGUAAAGGCCCACCAAGGCGACGAUCCGUAGCUGGUCUGAGAGGAUGAUCAGCCACACUGGAACUGAGACACGGUCCAGACUCCUACGGGAGGCAGCAGUGGGGAAUAUUGGACAAUGGGCGCAAGCCUGAUCCAGCCAUACCGCGUGGGUGAAGAAGGCCUUCGGGUUGUAAAGCCCUUUUGUUGGGAAAGAAAAGCAGCAGGUUAAUACCCCGCUGUUCUGACGGUACCCAAAGAAUAAGCACCGGCUAACUUCGUG